RNAcentral lists this long non-coding RNA (864 nucleotides) under Phasianus colchicus (ring-necked pheasant). RNAcentral's name for it is "lncRNA (ENSPCLG00000009706.1)". Lineage: Eukaryota; Metazoa; Chordata; Aves; Galliformes; Phasianidae. The record is from RNAcentral.
AUGGAAAGCACUGUGGAAAGGGUUUACACUGCAUAAUCCCUUGCAGGACCAAAUUUUACUUCUUUUCAGACAACUGUCCAUCUCUGCCCAGUGAGUUAGCAGUGGUUCUUCUGGCUGCACGGAGGCUGGCAUGGUUUCCACUAAGGCAGCUUCUCUUUAAUGGAGAACACACCAUCACGCACAGGAAAAUAUCAGCUUCCUUCUGAAAAGGCCAUCUGUACCAGCAGCACUGCUUGGACCCAUCAGGGAUGCUGCAUAGUUUUCCCUGGGCAGCAAAUACACAGCCUUCCCCAUGAAAGAGGAAAAAAAAGAUUGCAGAUGUGGAUAGGAGGGAGACUGUUUAUCCCGCAGGCUUGCAGCAAGCAAGAUGCAGAGGCACCAUCAAAGCCUCUUGGACCUGGGCAGCCGAGUGCUACUACUGCCUGAAACCCUCCCAUGGCACCUGCGUGGGAGAUUUUGCAAAAGCCCUCAUUGCCUUUGGAGCAGAGGUACAGCUCUGAGUGGUGUUUGAGCUCUUAAAUUAUCCUGAAACCUCGAUGCUUUGUGCUGGUAUGGUCUUCAUGAAAUCUGUGAUUUAUUGUGGAGUUUUAUUCCUGCUCCCUCCAGGAGCUUGAAUGUGGUCGUUACAACUGUGCCUUCUCAUAGCAUCAUUUUCUGUCUUCUCUCCCUCCCACACUUAGCUUAAAGCUGCCUGACAUUCCUGCAGUCCUUUCCAGUCCCCUUUUUUUUCCUAUGUCCACCCCCAUUUUGCCAAUAUCUACCCAGAGCUGCAAACCCAAACCACAGGAGGGCUGAAGAUGCGGGAGCAGACUGUGGGAAAAGGGGAUCAAAAGCAGUGGAGCCAAAGUUUUAUCCUUCACUUGG